RNAcentral lists this ribosomal RNA (481 nucleotides) under uncultured bacterium. RNAcentral's name for it is "bacterial SSU rRNA". It matches the Rfam family "Bacterial small subunit ribosomal RNA", at positions 28 to 524 of the family's 1533-position model. The record is from RNAcentral.
GACGAACGCUGGCGGCGUGCUUAACACAUGCAAGUCGAACGAUGAACCGGAGCUUGCUCCGGGGAUUAGUGGCGAACGGUGAGUAACACGUGGGCAACCUGCCCCAGACACCGGGAUAACCUUCCGAAAGGAUGGCUAAUACCGGAUACGACCACUUCGGGCAUCCGACGGUGGUGGAAAGGAUUCUGGUCUGGGAUGGGCCCGCGGCCUAUCAGCUUGUUGGUGGGGUAAUGGCCUACCAAGGCGACGACGGGUAGCCGGCCUGAGAGGCGACCGGCCACACUGGGACUGAGACACGGCCCAGACUCCUACGGGAGGCAGCAGUGGGGAAUAUUGCGCAAUGGGCGAAAGCCUGACGCAGCGACGCCGCGUGAGGGACGAAGGUCUUCGGAUUGUAAACCUCUUUCAGCAGGGACGAAGCGAAAGUGACUGUACCUGCAGAAGAAGCACCGGCUAACUACGUGCCAGCAGCCGCGGUAAU